AGAGUUUGAUUCUGGCUCAGGAUGAACGCUAGCGACAGGCUUAACACAUGCAAGUCGAGGGGCAGCACGGUGUAGCAAUACACUGGUGGCGACCGGCGCACGGGUGAGUAACACGUGUGCAACCAACCCCGUACCGGGAGAUAACCUGCGGAAACGUGGACUAACAUCCCAUAACACUGUAUCAUCGCAUGGUGAUACAUUUAAAAUUCCGGUGGUACGGGACGGGCACGCGCGACAUUAGGUAGUUGGCGGGGUAACGGCCCACCAAGCCGACGAUGUCUAGGGGUUCUGAGAGGAAGGUCCCCCACACUGGAACUGAGACACGGUCCAG
Molecule: ribosomal RNA, 331 nt
Filed under: uncultured bacterium
Lineage: Bacteria
Description: bacterial SSU rRNA
Rfam family: Bacterial small subunit ribosomal RNA
Source: RNAcentral